Molecule: non-coding RNA, 73 nt
Organism: Cordylochernes scorpioides
Lineage: Eukaryota; Metazoa; Arthropoda; Arachnida; Pseudoscorpiones; Chernetidae
Source: the annotation of a GenBank genome assembly
UCCAGGGUAGCCUAGUGGACAUGGCAUCUGCCCGGUAAGUGGAAGGUCGUGGGUUCGACUUCCGCCCCUGGCC